AACUCAAAAUCAAAAUAAAACAAUACUGGAGGGGAUGCAAAUAGUUUUUUCAGUAAAAUCAAAUAAUAAAUCUUAAUCCUGUUUCUUCAAUUUCAUCAGACACAGACAACUUCCCACAAACCAAUAUUGUCAGUUUCUAAGAGGCAAAGCAUUUUUUAAUUAUAGCAUUUGGGACACUUAGAAAAUGGGUCAACGGAAAAUAUUUUCUUGGUCAAAGGGAAAAUUAAGCCAUUUUGAAGGCAAUGACUUCCUCUUUUCAAAAGAUAAAGUUAUUUUCUGAAUUUUGAUAACCUUAUUAAAAUGUAAAAAUAUUUAUAUAUGCAUGAUAUAAACAUAUACCAUUAGUUUAAUACUGUAAUUAAACAAUGAAAAAUAUUUUCACUUGAAAACAAUUUUCAUGGAAAACAGUUUCCAUGUACAAGUUAUUUUCCGUAAAACAAAUAGAGCCUAAAGAUUUUAAUGAGACAUUGAGUCCAAAGUGAAAGAAAUUGCAACCAUCUUUCUUAUUUGCAGCCAGGUGGUGCCCAAGGACACGACAACAUGAAUGGCCAAUACCUAAGCAUAUCAGCCCUGGUUUAACAAGGUAGGUAUUACACCAGAUGAAAACUACAGUUUUUCCCUUUUCUAGUUGUUUCUUCUCUCUCAAAAGCCUCGUCCCUUAUCAGUGGAGGCAUUAUAUGUUUGGUUGCGUAAAUAAAAAACCUGGCCCUAAGCUUGGAACUAUUUAUAAACUAGAAUUAAAUUCAACUGCAAUUGAACUGAACAAGCUUCAUUUGCAUUCAGUCCAUCUUGAUUAAAUCUCAGGAUUCACUAGUAAGCAACAUUCAAAUUCACAAACAAGGUAGGAUCUGUCUACACCCAACAUGUUCAAAGUCCAGUAACAACCCAGCAUUUCUAACUCUUCCAACUUUAUCUCCCACAUUCAUUCAAGUGCAAAAUCCAGUGAAAAUAAUACGAGAAAAAAUCGUAAAUGAAAAAACUUUUCAUAUCUUCCCGACAACAUAGCCUAGUAAAGUUAAUUUCUACACCAAUGAAUCCACAAAUCAACUGAAUGGGUUUCUAUAUUUCAAAACAAAUACAAUUAUUGUUCAAGUUGGUACCAUAAUCCGAUCCAAACAAGCCUUCUUUUAUCAAUUUUAUCAUACCAGUUA
Molecule: unclassified non-coding RNA, 1151 nt
Filed under: Hevea brasiliensis (rubber tree)
Lineage: Eukaryota; Viridiplantae; Streptophyta; Magnoliopsida; Malpighiales; Euphorbiaceae
Source: RNAcentral